CAUAUUUAGUCAUUCAUUUUUGAUCAGGAGAAAGAAGACAGCCAUCAUUUGAAAGGUAAAGCUUCAGCGACUGAAGGAGUGUGGACUUUUUGAAUUUCAAGAACAGUAAAGUUGGAACACAGCAGAGGGUGUGUAAUAAAAUACAGAUUGGAAAGAAGACUGAUGAAGAAAAAUAACAGCAUGAUUCAGGCACACCAUUGAGUUCUUUGGGAUGCCCGAAAGUGUCUGGUUGGGAAACAUGAAAUAGAAGACGAGAACCUGCCUCAGCAAGCGUACCUGAGAAUACUUUUAAAGGAACCUGUUGAUAAAUGCAAAACAGUGGCUGUUGCAGGUGAUGGAACUGUACUGGAACAAUGGGAGAAGCUGGUAGCUUAUAGGAAGCCAAGAUGACCAGAAUGUUUUUAAAUAAUCCCGUGACGACAGCAUGUACGAUCCCUGAAUGGGCCCGUGGG
RNAcentral lists this small RNA (452 nucleotides) under Homo sapiens (human). Its description in RNAcentral is "Hum_SGMS1_234562". Lineage: Eukaryota; Metazoa; Chordata; Mammalia; Primates; Hominidae. The record is from RNAcentral.